UCAUGGAAUGUUUCACAGUUUCUUAGUGCA
RNAcentral lists this non-coding RNA (30 nucleotides) under Mus musculus (house mouse). The record is from RNAcentral. Lineage: Eukaryota; Metazoa; Chordata; Mammalia; Rodentia; Muridae.